AUGGACCCAUGUUCAGUUGGAGUCCAGCUUUGUACCACAAAUGAGUGCCAUAAAACUACUACACUCAUCAUAUGGGUUUCAAGCCUUUGCAAGAGUUGUCAUCGAAUGAUAUGCUUUUACUUCAACUUAGAACUGGAAUGACACUUUCUGGGAACAACUCAAUCUGCUUUCAUCCUGUAAAAAUUUACAUUGACAGAUUUGAGGAUUUGCAGAAGUCAUGUUGUGACCCAUUUAACAUACACAAAAAGCUAGCCAAAAAAAAAAAUUGCAUGUAAUUAACUUAGAUGAUGACACUUUUCUGAGCGCAAAAUUUGGAAGACAGCUUGUACCUGGUUGGAAGCUUUGUCCAAAAUGUACCCAGAUAAUCAAUGGAAGUGUGGAUGUUGAUUCUGAUGACCAACAGAGAAGGAAACCUGAAUUGGAUGGAAGAACUGCUAAAGCAUUGAGGUCACUGCAGUUUACCAACCCAGGGAAGCAAACUGAAUUUGCUCCGGAAACUGGGAAAAGAGAAAAAAAGGAGACUUACAAAGAGUUCAACUGCUGGUUCAGACAGACAAGUGAUACCAGCCAAGAGUAAGGUCUACGAGAGCCAAGGCCUCCUGAUUUUCAGUGGGAUUGACCGACUGCCUGGCUGAAGACUGCUUAGGAUGUUUCUUCGCAUGCCCUGCCUGUGGCUGUACCAAAUGUGGGGCUGAAUGCCGCUGUGACCACAAGGGGCUCUACGAGCAAAUAGAAAUUGAAGGAGGAGAGAUCAUUCCUAAUAAACAUGCUGGAUCAUUUGUAGUAUCAAACUUACGGGUCCUCCAUUUCUAAAAUCCUGUCACUCUUUCAGAUUGUCAAAGAUGCAGAAACCACCUCAGUAUGUACUAGUAUAGU
Molecule: RNA transcript, 876 nt
Organism: Dipodomys ordii (Ord's kangaroo rat)
Lineage: Eukaryota; Metazoa; Chordata; Mammalia; Rodentia; Heteromyidae
Gene name: ARL14 effector protein pseudogene
Exons: 1
Source: RefSeq, a predicted model, not a curated record